AGUGGACGGUUCGAGCGGCGCACAGACGACUGUCUCUCCCCGAUCCCUUUCUCUCCUUCAUCUCUCCUGUUCGUUGUCAAAACAGAAAUCCCCCACAUCUGCACCCAAAUCCCAUCGAUCAGCGGCAAAGAAGGAAGGGCACGGCUGGCGGGGAAUCGCCGCCAUGACUGCGUGCAAAGGGGAGAUUGGUGCAGUAGCGGCCAGGCGAAGAGAUCUCUUUGUGGAUCUGGCAACUGUGCGGGCAGUGACAAAAAAGACUAGAUCGGCAAGGCGGGAUGGACACGGUGAGGCGCCACCAUCCGGCGAUGGGCGGCGGCUGCGGGGGCCCGACGUCGUUGCGGUGCUCCAGCUCGCCGGCGCAGGAGUUCGCGGGGCUGGCGUCCGUGUUCCGGCGGCGGCUGGUGGUGGGGACGACUAUGGUGGCGGCCGACUUUGGGGCGUCAUCAGGCUGUCCCCAGAGCUCGGGCGCUCGCUGAGGCUCGACGUGCCUGGACUCCUCCAUCUGCGGCUUCACACGAUGCCUGGACUCCUUCAUUGAUUCGGUAAUUUGAUGACCAACAACAGCAGCCCCCUUUGGUAGCUUAGCUUCCUUCUCCUACUUUUUUUUAUCAAUUCUUGGUUGAACAAACAGACUACUACUGCUCAACGUUUACGCAUUAACAGCUGAUUUCUGUCAUUCCAUUCUCCUCAAGGGAUUGAGUUGCUCUUUCAGAUCCGUCACGCCAUUUUGCUAAAUUUUUCAGAGUUCAAAGCUUUUGGAUUCUAGCCAAACACUAUACUACUGAGGUAAUAUCAUGCAAAAAAGAAGCACUUCAGCCACAACUCAUUUAGGGACCAGCCGAAAAUGUUGCACACACACAUAUUCGCGCGUGGCCGCAGAGUUGCACGCUCUAGUUGGUAUAGUCGCACACGCUUGGUCGCGUAGUUGCACACUCUUUGGCACAUGCCCGGCCGCGUAGUCGCACAUGCAUGCCCGCAGAGUUGCACACUCUUGCCGGUAUAGAAGCACAUGCCCGGCCGUGGAGUUGCACGCUCUUGUUCGAGUAGUCACGCAUGCACUCCUGCGGAGUUGCACACUCUUGUCGACUCUUGUCGGCAUAGGAGCACACGCCCGGCCGCAGAGUUGCACACUCUCGUCCGCGUACGUAGUCGCACACACACGAUCACGGAGGUGCACACUCACUUCCAAGCAGUCGCACACGCACGGCCACAGAGGUGCACACGUGUGUCGGCACAGUCAUGUGUGCGUGUGGUUCUUUGGUUGCACACUCAAGUGUGCCCUGUUUUCAAGUGUAUACGUGAGGAGUUUGUAGAUCUAAACAGUUCAUAUCCUAGUUGGCUUUGCCACGGUUAUGCAGUUUCACAGGGAAUGGCUAUCGGCUAGUUUAGUUUUGGCUCCAGUGCCUACGUCAUCUUCAGGCAGUGUGUAUGUUGAUUUUUUUUUUGGUUGCACACUAAUAUCUGCCCAGUUGGCCAUACAGUGCAUCAAGUUGCACACAAUUUUGUUUUGUUUGGUAGGUGUGCUUUGAAAAAUCAGCAUGAGUUGCUUACCUCAUGGCACUUUUUUGAUAUCAAUUGUUCUUGCUCCAUUUUUCUUUAUACAUUUGGUUGCUACGACUAAUUUGUUUGUUCGCUUUUUUUAGCAGACCAAAAAUGGUUGUAGAAGGAGAUGUGGCUCCUAGUGAAGGAUAGGCAUGCUCGCUUUUUCGUCGUUUUUCAUUUAUCCUUGUAGCAGUUUUGUUUUCAAUUAUAAUAACUAUUAUUUUGGGGUUUUCCUACCAUGUUCUAUGUUUUGUUUGUUUUAUGCAGGGGUCUGCAAACCGUUCUUCUCGGCAGAAUUCGAAACGGCAUGCUGAUCGGCAGUCUCGUCGUGUUGAUAUCGAUAGGGAGGUAGAGGAUGAUGAGGUUGGUGACCAAUUCUGCAUUGUGAAACGAUGGAAAUGGAAGGCGGCCGCGCUGGUGGGAGUUGUGUAUGAAGAUGGCACAUCGUUUGCAACAGUUGUUGAGGUUUUACAGGUUAUGGGGGUAGAGGAGCUGCUAUAGAUUUGUGCACACAAUUCUCAGCUACAAAGUCACAUAUACUACUGUGUGGAAAGAUCAAAGGAAAAAAACACUUCCAAACCAGAUUCUUGUCCAGUAGGUAGUUAUCUUUUCAUAGUAGCUACAACACUUUUUUUUGCUACAUGUACAUCUGUUCUUCUGCAUUAUGUGUGAAUAAGAUUCUCUAUGUGCACUCUCCUAUAUUUUUGCACAUUUUCUGCGUUUUGUUACACACAUGUUGUAAAAGUUGGCUUGUCCCAUGAUGUAGUUGCACGAAAAUCAGUUAAAAGAGCACAAGUACCAGAUCUCCCCGUUUUAAUCUCUGUUUAUGCUAUCUUCAACAACUAUGGAGAAGCUACUUUUGCAAAGAGAAAUUUGGUGAGGGAGAAAGGGAAAGGCAAGGAGGAAGGACCUGAACAGGAGGAGAAAGGAUCACCUCUUUUUCCACCCUUGCUGGUGCCUACUGCCUGCUCUAGCAAUGGAGAUCCAGACAUGAAAACCCCUUUGUUUCAUGGGUAAGAAGGUGGGGCAGGCAGAGGCGUGGGGAAAAAGAAGUUGGUGGUCAGAGGGGCGUGAGAGCUUCAGGAGGGGAGGGAAGGGCAUGUGAUGGCCUGGGGACCACGUCCCCUGUUGCUACCGGGGAAGGGCUUUCCUUUUCUGAGCAGCCGGCCGCUCCCUAGUCGCUCCCUUUUACUAGAUCUGGAGAUUUUCUGCAGCUAAAAAAGUCAUCAAGGAAGCAAAACAAAGAUUUUUUAGAAAAAAAGAUUGUGUGUGUGUGCUUUUUUCUUUAGAAACAAAAAAAAAUAUUGUGUAGUACGUCAGACAACCUCUAGGCUACCUUGCACAGGCA
Long non-coding RNA from Triticum dicoccoides, 2890 nucleotides. RefSeq lists it as uncharacterized. The transcript has 4 exons. NCBI's taxonomy places the organism in Eukaryota, Viridiplantae, Streptophyta, Magnoliopsida, Poales, Poaceae. The record is from RefSeq and is a predicted model, not a curated record.